Molecule: long non-coding RNA, 323 nt
Organism: Aplysia californica (California sea hare)
Lineage: Eukaryota; Metazoa; Mollusca; Gastropoda; Aplysiida; Aplysiidae
Exons: 2
Source: RefSeq, a predicted model, not a curated record
AUUGUCUUACAGAGGUGGCUGUUUGUAAAGGUAAUUGUCUUAUACAGGUGGCCGUUUGUACGGGUGAUUGUCUUACAAAGGUGGCUGUUUGUAAAGGUGAUUGUCUUACAGAGGUGGCUGUUUGUACAGGUGAUUGUCUUAUACAGGUGGCUGUUAGAGCUGGUUUGACUGUAUUUGAACAAGAAACAUUGGGCCAGUAGUUGGUGAGUUCCUCCCAAACAUUUCCGCUUGCUGUGAAAUAUUGUAUUUCUAUUAUUGUUUAUUUUGGGUCGUAUUUUUUUACUUACUGCUUAUUGAAAUAAAAUUAUCUUUCAUCACUUCUA